This 431-nucleotide unclassified non-coding RNA is filed under the name soil metagenome. RNAcentral describes it as "partial contains 5.8S ribosomal RNA, internal transcribed spacer 2, and large subunit ribosomal RNA". The stretch from base 1 to 120 matches the Rfam family "5.8S ribosomal RNA", at positions 35 to 154 of the family's 154-position model. The record is from RNAcentral.
GAUGAAGAACGCAGCGAAAUGCGAUACGUAAUGUGAAUUGCAGAAUUCAGUGAAUCAUCGAAUCUUUGAACGCAUAUUGCGCUCUCUGGUAUUCCGGAGAGCAUGCUUGUUUGAGUAUCAGUAAACACCUCAACUUCCAUAUCUUUUUUGAAAUGGGAGUUGGACUUGAGUGAUCCCAACGCUUUUCCUCACCGAAAAGUGGCGGGUUACUUGAAAUGCAGGUGCAGCUGGACUUUUCUCUGAGCUAUAAGCAUAUCUAUUUAGUCUGCCUAAAAAACAGAUUAUUACCUUUGCUGCAGCUAACAUAAAGGAGAUUAGUUCUUGUGCUGACUGAUGCAGGAUUCACAAAGACAGGCUUCGGCCGACUUUGUAAACUCGAUCUCAAAUCAAGUAAGACUACCCGCUGAACUUAAGCAUAUCAAUAAGCGGGA